GAGUUUGAUCCUGGCUCAGAACGAACGCUGGCGGCGUGCUUAACACAUGCAAGUCGAACGUGAUCCGGAGCUUGCUCCGGUGAAAGUGGCGCACGGGUGAGUAACGCGUGGAUAAUCUGCCCUGGUAUCUGGGAUAACAUCUCGAAAGGGGUGCUAAUACCGGAUAAGCCUACGGACUCUUCGGAGUCUGCAGGAAAAGGUGGCCUCUAUUUAUAAGCUACCGUAUCAGGAUGAGUCCGCGUACCAUUAGCUAGUUGGUGGGGUAAUGGCCCACCAAGGCUACGAUGGUUAGCUGGUCUGARAGGAUGAUCAGCCACACUGGAACUGAGACACGGUCCAGACUCCUACGGGAGGCAGCAGUGGGGAAUUUUGCGCAAUGGGCGAAAGCCUGACGCAGCAACGCCGCGUGAGUGAUGAAGGCUUUCGGGUCGUAAAGCUCUGUCGAGGGGAAAGAAGUGUAUUAGGGCUAAUAUCCCUGAUACUUGACGGUACCCCUAAAGGAAGCACCGGCUAACUCCGUGCCAGCAGCCGCGGUAAUAC
This 540-nucleotide ribosomal RNA is filed under the name uncultured Geobacteraceae bacterium. Its description in RNAcentral is "bacterial SSU rRNA". It matches the Rfam family "Bacterial small subunit ribosomal RNA", at positions 9 to 526 of the family's 1533-position model. Lineage: Bacteria; Pseudomonadati; Thermodesulfobacteriota; Desulfuromonadia; Geobacterales; Geobacteraceae. The record is from RNAcentral.